Rhodamnia argentea is the source of this 189-nucleotide long non-coding RNA. RefSeq lists it as uncharacterized. The record is from RefSeq and is a predicted model, not a curated record. The transcript has 3 exons. NCBI's taxonomy places the organism in Eukaryota, Viridiplantae, Streptophyta, Magnoliopsida, Myrtales, Myrtaceae.
AUCUUUUCCAUGGGACUUUUAAUUCCGGCUGAAUUCUCAGUAAUAACCGGCUCAAGCGCUCUCUUCAACUCUAUCAAAACUUUUCGGACUACCAAUUUGACCAAUUGUCUUACAUACCCAUUAGCAACUCUCUCUGAUUCCCAUCCCUUCAAGGAAGCCACUUCUGCGAGCGCUUGCCUCCAUACUUUC